RNAcentral lists this long non-coding RNA (8779 nucleotides) under Panax ginseng (ginseng). RNAcentral's name for it is "long non-coding RNA (PGIN_LNC004473)". The record is from RNAcentral. Lineage: Eukaryota; Viridiplantae; Streptophyta; Magnoliopsida; Apiales; Araliaceae.
AGAAAAAAGUCGAUACGAUCCAAACGGGGUGUAACAAAUUGGCGCUAGAAAAUUAGUCCUAUAUUUUAAACUUUCUGAAAUCUGAACUGCCGCGAUCGUUUUUUCCAAAUCCCUAAUUCUCUGUAGAUCCUUUCUAAAAGAGCCAUGUGAAGAAGAAUUAAAACUAUCUAGGAAAAGGUCAGUGCCUUUCAUCAUCUUUUAAUAUGCGUAAUACUGAUACUUUCAAUUGUGAAACUUACAGUAUGGAGUAUUUGUAAUUAUUGUUUAUCUUAACCAUUUAAUUAAUUUGAUCGUUUUAGGAUCUGUAAACCCUGGAAUUUGAAAGAUUUUUGGGCAAUUGAAAUGUGAUUUUGUGAAUUUGAGGAAAUUAAUGUGGUUAUUAGGAGUACUAUUAAAUACUCCAUUAAAGAAAGGGAGAGAUUGUGAUUGCUUGUUUAGAGACAAAGCAACUUUAAUUAUUGUCUUGAAAUCAGCAAGGGUUUUGUUUUGCCUGUUUUUAUGAAAUUGUACGAUGUGAAUCAGAGCCUCAGAGGUGUAUGGAUUUGUGUGUUAGGAUUUUUUCAAGUGGCAAAAAUACCUCAAUGAUUACUUGGUUUUUUGUCAUAUUUUUUUUGCUAAAUGGUUUUUUGUCAUUUUUGUUACGAGUUGCUUUAAUUUUCCUAAUUCGAUUAGGUUGCAUUUGACUAUUCCUGCAUGAUUUCAAGCUCAACUGCUCUCCUCUGUUUACAUGCUCUGCCAGCACUCAAUUGUUCUGUUAAGGCUUUGGCAUUACUGCUCGGUUUUUAAUUCUUAUAUAAGAAUAAUACAUCCUGUUAACGCCAAGAUCUUUCCCCACGUCCCAAUCACCAAGACGCGUCCGAUAUCCUGCACAGUUCAACAAGUCAACACCAAAAGACCGUCGGGGGAUAGCUCCGGCGUGAGAGUCAGUAUCGGCGAUCACAAGGUUAACAAUGGAGGAAAAUAAUGUCUAGUGACUUGAGAGCAAUAAUUAAUUAGUUACCUUUCACCGUGUGUCAUCCUUGCUUUAUAUUUCCAAAAUCCGGUUUGUCCUGUAUGCAACUGGCUUUUCGGGCCCACAGCUUUUAGCCAACUAAGUCCUGUCCAAUCCUCAUUAAAUGUAAUGCAGAGAUUGCAGUCAAAGUUCUAUCCCCAAUCUACACCGGUCAAAGCCCAAGUGGAACCAUACUCAUCUAGUAAUUCGGCCCACUGUCACAGCCCAAUACUUCAUAGGCCCCAAAAUAAAGAUAAUAUCCACCCAAUGGGCUGGCCCAAUGAACCGGCCUAAUACUUUCAAGACCCACCUCAAUAUGUCUAAAGUAUUAUGGCCCAACAUUGCCCCCCAGUCUCUUAUUAAACAAGAGGUUUAAUGAAAGAGUAUAAGUGGAAUCGGUCCAGAAUAAAAGGAAUUAUAAUGAGAUCAACAAAGGCCCAAGAUACAACUUACCGAGGCCCAAUAGGUAAAUCUUAAACAACAAUUCAAAUAGAAACCGGAAGCCCAAUAGAGAAGCCCACUCCGGUUAACAAUGAAGGUCAAAACCGCACGCUACCUCUUCAAAUUCACAAUCACUGCUGGCAUUAAAUGAGUCGCCCUUGAACCUCGUGAAAAGAUGAAGAGAACUCUAGUAUAAAAGCUGCUUUCUCCCAAAUCUGACAGUUUUAUCAACUCAAUUCGAAAUUCGGAUAUUCCUUGCUCCUCUUCUUCUCCAAAUUUCUCUCUGCAACUAAUUAACAAUGGCUUCUCAGAAUACUAAUCAAAGUUCCCCACUUCGCAUAACCCCCAUUACCACUGUUCUUCCCAAUCUGAGCUCUAGCAAAAAAGAGACUCCGAGUUCAAAUCCCAAAUCUGCUGAUACUCACAGUCAGAAUCAACCACUAAAAACUAUUCCCAAUCCUUCAGAAUUCUUCAAGAGUGAAGAAUACUUCCCCCAUGCCAACACUCCUUCCACCGUCACUGAGAUUGAGUUGGGUAACCUUCGGACCCACUACCAGAUUCCGGACACCCAUAUGGUAAGGGCUCCAGCUCCCCACGAACGAAUGUACCAGCGACCCGAAGGCUGGACCGCCAUAUCGGUGACCCUUCUGGAAAAAGGAGUUCGCUUACCUCUCCAUGCCUUCGUCAUCAUUCUACUGGGGUUCGUAGGUGUGGGAUUCACCCAGUUAGUGCCGAACUCCUACAUACACAUCCUGGCAUUUAUCGCCUUCUGCCACGAACAAGGGAUUCCACCUGCUGUCGACUUCUUCUUCACUCUGUUCAUAGCCGGUAAAUCUCGAGAACGAGGCCUCAAGAUGCUGAGCAAACAAUCCCCCAAACCUAAUGCCAGGUUCGAGAAGCGACCACUAAUGGACACUCAUUCGAGCAACCAAGGAUGGCAUAAGGAGUGGUUUUUUGUCAAAGGACCCGAAGUCUCCUCCAUACCCGACUGGACCACUUCCGAUCGUAUCUCUGCAAACUUCGGAAAUAUUUCAACGGAACGAGUGAGAGAAAUGGCGAGCCUUCUAGAGAAGAUUCACAUUAAGGAAUGGAGCUUCGGAUUUCUGAGUAAACAAGCAUGGUUGUACGACCAUAACUGUAAGUCUCGAACCCACUUUAUUGUUUAACUCCCAAUUUCCAUCAGUAGUUAUCGUAAACAAUUGUUCCUCAUCUGUUGCAGUGUCUCUGAUCAAACAACGUCAAUCGACUGAAGGGAUCUAGACAGAUUUCUUUUUGGUACAUCUUCGCCGACCUCUGCCGAUGUACCAACUGAAGAGCUUCAAGCCACCGAAUCAACUCCUACUGAAGGGACAAGCCAACCUCGCCGAAGAAAGCAAGCUGGCCGAAAACCCAAACACACCCCCACACAAACUCACACCGAGUGCCUCCUCGAUAUGCCCUGUGAUGAACGGACCCGAAUCCUUCGCGCCAAAAAGAGGAAAACCCAAGCAAAUUCUCCAGCCUCCGAAGAACCACAAGUACCUCCAACAGAGACCGAUCCUCCGCCAACCACCCCGGUUGAAAUCGUUGAUUCUGACGAAGAGCCCGAGGAACAAGUAGAGCGAACACCCAAACAUGAUCGCAAAAGAAAACCAAACUCCUCGGAAUCUAGGCUCGAAGCCAUGGGAUCCCCCACUCUGGCCAGAACCCGAAGAGAAUUUCCCAUUUGAGCUCUACAACUCCUUCGUCUGUAAUACCGACGACCACCGGUUCGGCAACAGCUCUAUCAUGGACCUGAUCAACGAGGGAAUGAAGUACCAAGCUAGAGUAAGCUUAACUUAUCCAUUUACAUCUCGGCCCAUUAAUUUUGAACUGAUAGACUAACACUGAUCAUCCGCAGGCAAACACUGUCUUCGGACGCCUCCGUCCCAAAUACCAAGAGGCCGAAGCCGAAGAGAAAGCCGCUCGAAGAGAGAAUACCCUGCUUAAGUCUGCUUUGGCGAAAGAUAGAAGUAGUCUCAAAGUUGCUCUUUACGACAAUGAGUGCCUUCAGAAAGACCUUGCCCAAACCAAAGAAGAUUUGAAGACGUCCCGGGCCACUCAUCAAGUCAUCACUGAUAUAAAUAUCGAUUUUCUGAAGAAAAACGAAAUUUUGGCGAAGAAAAUCGAAGAUCUGGCCCAAUCCAACUCAGUUCUGUCGAAGCAAAAUAAAGAUAUCCAAGCUAAAGAUGCAGAGCAAAUGGCCCAUCGUCAAAAGCUUGAAGAGGAACUUCGAGAACUCCAGACUCUUAGGGAUUUGGGCCCACCAUUAACUGAUCGGCUUCGCAAGGAGAUUGAAGCAAAUUACAGGAAAUCCACCGAGCUGAACAAUGAAGUUGUCCACAUGUACUCUGAAGGGUACGAGGUCUGCCGAAGUAAAUACAAAGCCAAACUUGUAGUGGCCAAAGUAAACCCGGCUCUCCUCGACUCUUCGGACAGCGAGGACAAUAAGGAAGCUUAAAGAUAUCAUCCGAAGCUUUAGGACUCCCUGAAAAGACAUUUCUCCUUUGUAAACAGUUAGAUAUCAAUGAGAUGAUUAAUAAAUUCUUAUCCUUAUUACACCUUUGACCAUUUCUUGUCAAUAAUUCAUCAUCAAUCAACGUGAAAAAUGUAUAAUCUUAAAUUGUUAGUCAAUAACUAAGCAAGUCAUAUAACAGAUAAGAUCAAGUAAUAAUGUGACCCGAAUUCAACACUUAAAAAUCAGGUAAUAAAGUAAUGCAAUACUUAUUCGUUACCAAAAUGAGAGGUAGAUCUGCUUCAUAGGGAAUUUGUUUACCACGAAGGGCCUAACAAACCCACAAGAUGACAUUUGUCUACCACGAAGGGCCUGACAAAGUCCAAAGGAUGACAUUUGCCUACCACGAAGGGUCUAACAAAGUCUAAAGGACCACCUGCCAAUAAGGCUACCAUCGAAUGGCCAACGAGUCCACCCGAACCUCCUAACACCGAUGACGUUUGCCUACCACGAAGGGCCUGACAAACUCAUAAGGACCACCUGCCAAUAAGGCUACCAUCGAAUGGCCAGCGAGUCCACCCGAACCUCCUAACACCGAUGACGUUUGCCUACCACGAAGGGCCUAACAAACUCAUAAAGACCACCUGCCAAUAAGGCUACCAUCGAAUGGCCAGCGAGUCCACCCGAACCUCCUAACACCGAAGUGGCAUCUGCCCGUGCAUGUCAGACUAUGGAUGAGCUACCGAAGUCCCUCAUGAAUACUUCAAACUUCGAUCCCAUGAGCUGGCGUCUGUUAACAUGAUCCCUAGGCAAUGCACCCAGUAUGACUACCCCCCAGACAGCAAGAGGUAUAUGAGAUAAAAUCGAAUAUAGCCUUUUGGUGGCUGAUGUGGGAUCGAACUAUUUAGCUGACACAAAUACCCACAUGAACCCUCCGAAGAACAUCUGCAGCUUCGGACGACACCCAAAAUUCCUCAAUAAUGGGAGAUGAGUCCAAAGUAGAAUACCCGUCUGCAAACAACGCCCACGAAUUCUGAUUCUGUCGAAGCACUGCAACGGUUUUGUCGGACUCUUCAGCUUCUCCAUAACUAUCGUCAUCUUAUUUCUUCAUCCCUAAGGACACGGCUUACAUAGCAAACCGGGUGCUGCUUACCCCCAACUUCUCGCACCAAAACUGCUCCCACUGCCAACGAACUAGCUGCCAGAUACAAAUAAUAUAGCUCAGCAGGAGCGGGUUUCACCAACAAAGGCACCGAAGAAAGAUAGGUCGUUUAUUCCCUGGAAGGCGUCUUCACAUCCCGAAGUCCACUGGAACGUCUUAGCAUUCUUCGGCCCUUUCCAUGUACCAAAGAUUGACAAACAUCUUUCUGCCGAUUUGGACAUAAACCUUCUCAAAGUCUUUUCUGAAUAGUCUUGUCUUUUCCAUUCUAACCUGCAGCUUUAGACGGGCAUCUCCGAAGACGAGUAUCCACAGGGCGGUGUGCCCUCAGUGGAUUCUCAAGAGUGCGGCUUCUGGGUCUGCUUCGACCAUAUUCCCGAAGACCAACAGGACGGAGUACCCUUCUUCAAUCAAUCAGGAAAAUGGUUGUUGGGUCUUCAUCUACUCUGCUUCGACCAUAAUCCCGAAGACCAAUAGGGCGGAAUACCCUUCUCGGUCAAUCAAUCAGGAAAAUGGCUGUUGGGUCUGCUUCGAUCCUGAGGAAGGCCUCGAGACAUGUCUUUAAAGUGUAGACUUCUUUCUAACUUGAUCGGUCUGUCAGUCUGACCACUUCGGUAUAGGAUUCUAAGCAGUAUGCCUUCUACCCUUUUCCGACCAUGGUCAGGUCUUCUCUCGGCAGCAAAAAUCAAUCUUCUUCUAGCAUCACCUUGGGCUCUCGAACGAGAACCCUCAGAAACCUGCUUGGAAGCAGUACCAGCAUGAGCACUCUUUGAAGGACCCAAUCAAUCCUUGACAGAUACUCAUUGUGUAGACGAAGUCAUAGCCAUCAGCUAUCCUUUAGAAGUAACUGUUCUACUCUUCUUCACCAUGGAUUCCGACGUAGAGCAGCUACAAUUUGUGAUUGAAAACUUCAAGAACACUAGAAUUGCCCUCCUUCUAGCGCCAAUGUUAACGCCAAGAUCUUUCCCCACGUCCCAAUCACCAAGACGCGUUCGAUAUUCUGCACAGUUCAACAAGUCAACACCAAAAGCUUGACGACUUGACUGUCGGGGGAUAGCUUCGGCGUGAGAGUCAGUAUCGGCGAUCACAAGGUUAACAAUGGAGGAAAAUAAUGUCUAGUGACUUGAGAGCAAUAAUUGAUUAGUUACCUUUCACCGUGUGUCAUCCUUGCUUUAUAUCUCCAAAGUCCGGUUUGUCCUGUAUGCAACUGACUUUUCGGGCCCACAGCUUUUAGCCGACUAAGCCCUGUCCAAUCCUCAUUAAAUGCAAUGCAGAGAUGACAGUCAAAGUUCUAUCCCCAAUCUACACCGGUCAAAGCCCAAGUGGAACCAUACUCAUCUAGUAAUUCGGCCCACUGUCACAGCCCAAUACUUCAUAGGCUCCAAAAUAAAGAUAAUAUCCACCCAAUGGGCUGGCCCAAUGAACCGGCCUAAUACUUUCAAGACCCACCUCAACAUGUCUAAAGUAUUAUGGCCCAACACAUCCCUUUAUAUAAUUUCUUUUUGGAAAAUAGAGCAUGUCAGGGGCUGAGCCUCAUUCUUGUUUUGAAGAUCUUAAGGUUAUUCAUAAGCCUUUUCUACAAGCCUACAGUUGAGCUUCGUGAGUUAAGAAACUUAAUUAGGUAAAUCCUGCAAAUACUAGACAAAAUUGAAUUCUUGAAUCUGGUUGAAUUAUAGUAUAGAGUACCUAUUCAUCCUUAUGCAGCCUUUUCCAGUUGUCAUCUAUGCAAAAAAGAAUAGAUUUUCUUCUAUUGAUCUUUCAUACUCCAAUUCGAAAUCCAUAAAUUUGCAUUUAGAAGGUCCUAAAUGGAAUAGUGGGAUCGAUUUUCUACUGAUAUGUCAUAUGUAUGUUUAGAUGACUUGAAGUUUAGAAGUUGGUGUGAGCUUUGUGUACAUUACACAACAAUUGUCUGUGGUCUACUAGGUUAUAGGCAUAUAUAAGUAAAGUAAGUGUUGAGACCUUAUAAGAAUGCAACCUAGGGGGGGAUGUUUUUAGCCCAGGGAAAAUUUUCACUAGAGAUGUCACUGUCUUCUGAGACAAACUGUAUUGGAUUUCUUAUGUUUAUGUAAAGCAACUUGGGAUGUGGGAUCCAAUUGAUCUUAAGAUCCAAAGCCAAUCAAUAAACAGUUGAAGUUGCCAGUUUGGAGGCCCUGCAGGCUGUUUGAGUGUAUGGAUCUUGUCCUUUUAGAUUUAUGAUGAAGUGUCUAAUGCGCUGAGAAGCUUGGAUAGUUCAUAGGAAAGGAAAGGAAAGUAUCUCAAUAUGUAUGUAAGUGGUAAAAGUUAAGCACCUACAUAUUUAUAAUCUGUAAAGUUUCUUCGUGUGUUUUUUUUAUGUGUAUAUGUAUACGUUUCUAACCUUCUUAGCUGAAGUUAUCAACUCCCAAAAAAAAACCUCAGGUAAAAGCCACUAGUAAAAUAGUGAUCACAGUAUAUUCUGUAGUGAAACUCAUAGACCCAAUCCUUGCUCUGUCACUCAAAAAUGGUGGCACAACACCCUUUCUGAUAGGGAUCAACCUAGUGCAGCGGUACUAGAAUUCAUAACCUACAGGCUAGGCACUCAUAUAUUAUCACCUUUUAGAUAAAUUAGUAUUUUGCUCUCAACUUAAAAGGUCCCUCACUUUGAAUGUCUUGUGCAUCUCUUAUCAUGAUGAUCAGAAAGGAAAUUCACACAUCUAAGGGUCAUAAGCUUAAGUAUCCCAAAGGGUGGCAAAUCUAUUUCAUUUCUAUCAGGGUCAGGAAUUGCAAGGCAUUCCCUUAUAAUAGGAGAAUCAAGAUGUGAUUGAGUUAAAUGAACACUAAAAAUGCACCAUUAACUCUAUAAUGCCUUCAAGAUGUCACUUGCUUAGCUGUGGAACAUAGGGAAGCACGAGACGUGAUCCAGAAGUUCAAGUAAAAGGGUGUGGCAUGUAUAUCCUUAAUUAGUUGGGAUAUCUGGUGUUGGGAAUCAUGCAUGCCCAAAUUUUAGGCAGUUAAAAUAGAAACUUUAGUUGUCUUUCAAAUUGUAAACCAUAUUAGGAAGUAUAAGCAAUGAAUUUGAUUAGGAUGAUGUUAUCAGCACCUCAAUUUCUAAGUCAACGAUAUCAGAUCUGUUAAUCCGUGUUUGCUCUUUAAGGUCUAUUGUAUACUUUUUACUCCAUAUAUUUUUCCUGCUUUCACAUGGAAUACAGAUCUUAUGAUGAUUUAUGAACAUGUUCAUUUUAAUCAAGCACCGUCAUACAUAAACCGUAAACAUUAGUUGUGGGGUUUUGGAUUAUGUCAUGCAAGGCUCCUUUUAUACCUUCCAUGUGCAAAUGAUUAACCCAAUGAAGUCAUUGAAGCUUUUAAUGAUUAUGAAUCUUUCUUUUCCCAGUAACAUUAUCAAAUGAACCAUGAGAGUGGAUAGCUCAUGUUUGAGCCUCGCACUCAUUAAUUUGCUUAUACGUAAGCUGCAUCUUGCAUUGCAGAAGGGAGAUGAUUCAGUGGAUCCUGACGGAUUUUUAAAGGAAAAUGGGAGAUCUUUUUUUGUCAUCAGUGUUUUAAAUCAUCAACUAAUCGUUGUCAUCCAUGGUAUGCAACUUCACGCCCAAGGUAUACAGCUGGCUUUCGGAGAGCAUUUUGUCAUGCAUAGUAGCAGCUCUGCGCUCAUUGUUUCAUGUUUACGACAUGCUUUCUUGUUGAUCCAUAACUAGUUAAAAAACAAAAUCAUGGGGAAAAGUAGGCAUAUCUCUGAAUAGAA